UACAGAGGUCCCGAGCGUUGUUCGGAUUCAUUGGGCGUAAAGGGUGCGUAGGCGGUUUCCUAAGUUUGAUGUGAAAUCCCGGGGCUUAACCCUGGAAUUGCAUUGAAUACUGGGAGACUAGAGUACUGGAGAGGAAACUGGAAUUUACGGUGUAGCAGUGAAAUGCGUAGAGAUCGUAAGGAAGACCAGUGGCGAAGGCGAGUUUCUGGACAGUUACUGACGCUGAGACACGAAAGCGUGGGGAGCAAACAGG
RNAcentral lists this ribosomal RNA (253 nucleotides) under uncultured bacterium. RNAcentral describes it as "partial 16S ribosomal RNA". It matches the Rfam family "Bacterial small subunit ribosomal RNA", at positions 524 to 776 of the family's 1533-position model. The record is from RNAcentral.